Long non-coding RNA from Pollicipes pollicipes, 774 nucleotides. RefSeq lists it as uncharacterized. The transcript has 3 exons. Lineage: Eukaryota; Metazoa; Arthropoda; Thecostraca; Pollicipedomorpha; Pollicipedidae. The record is from RefSeq and is a predicted model, not a curated record.
UUUGGCGUUUGGCUUAUUUCACCAACUUAAUGUUGCAACGAACCGAAACAGAUACCUAAGCAAAGAAAUUAUAACUUACAUCGUAGAAAUACUGGAUGCAUGGAUAUCAUGAACUAAUUUUGUUUCUGGUUUGCACACUACGAGCGAAGAUACCAUUUAAUACGGCAGACUACUCUUCAAAGCGACGAUGCCGAACGACAAAACCCCCAAAAUAUUUCUCAUGAUCCGUCGAAAGAAGAUCACUGUCAUUUUGGAUGCAAAAUCGGAUACAACUUGCCUUGAUAUCAAGAGGUUUCUUGAGACUAUGUUGAAGGUCCCACCGGAUAACCAAAGGCUCCUCUACAACGAAGUCAUCUUAGAAGAUGCCGACACUCUAGAAUCCGUCGGCAUAACUCCAUCCUUAGCCCCCAUGCACAGGCCCGUUACCCUGAUCCUGGUCAUGAGCCAGGAGGACGGGGAGUUUGAGGCGCCCGAAGUCUCGCCGUUCACGCCGCUAGAUUCUGCAGACAAGACCACCGCACCCAGCAGUCCGGCUUCCACGCUGUCCUAGUCGACCGCGGGGCACGGCGCCGAUGGCGACGAGCAGACAGCGGUACUUCAUUGGCCACUAGGUUGCUCACUGACCGGCAAAGUAUAGCAGGCCAUAGCAGGCGAAAACUUUUGCGUGGUGUGGUUCAGUGACAGCAGUGGUGUCUUGGGCGUGGACGUCAGGCCCAUGGAUGGUUGAAGCAUUCCACGGCUUCCUUCCUCUCUAAUAUAAUGUUAAUUGCUUGA